GCGAGAGCACUGAUACAUAUAAUAGUCUAGGUACAUAUACAAAUAACCAAUAUCUAUAAUGUAUACACAGUAAUCGAUUAUCUUGAGGUUUAAGUAAGUUAAUACACCUCAGUUUGAAAAAUAAUGUUUCACACGGGCUCCAUGCACCUGUCAAGCCCUUUAUGGAUUCGAGGCUAUUGUUAGAGAUGAGGAGAUACCACGAUUGACUAAUGCCCAUAAGAGAGACAAGAUUAUUAAAACAAAUCGCAUAUAGGGUCCUGUUUUGCUUACGGCGACAAAUGAAGGAGAGCUGCUAUAGAUAGCGAUCCAAUAACCUAGAAAGCGAUACAUUUAAGGUAGAGCCACGAUGAACAAACUCAGAGCGGAGCAAUUAAAACAGACGAUGGAUCGUAUCCACCGUAUCGAGGGGCACACAAACGUGUCGGGGGUGCUGGUGAUCAACACCAAGGGGCUCAUCCUCCACACUUCGCUCGACACCACGCAGACAACGGCUUACACGCAACAGUGCGUGCCUCUCGUGGAGCUCGCGCGUGCCACCAUCAGGGACACAGACCCUGAAGAUGAUCUCCGUUUUUUUAGGGUCAGGACCCUCAAGCACGAGUUAAUAAUCGCGCCAGAGGACAAGUAUACCCUUAUCGUGAUCCAGAAGACAGACGCACAAGCCAACAGGUUUAUUUUAUAGUGUAUAACAGAGGACGAGUAUAGCCUUAUCGUGAUCCAGAAGACAGACGCACAAGCCACCAGGUUUAUUUUAUAGUGUAUAACAGAGGACGAGUAUAGCCUUAUCGUGAUCCAGAAGACAGACGCACAAGCCACCAGGUUUAUUUUAUAGUGUAUAACAGAGGACGAGUAUAGCCUUAUCGUGAUCCAGAAGACAGACGCACAAGCCACCAGGUUUAUUUUAUAGUGUAUAACAGAGGACGAGUAUAGCCUUAUCGUGAUCCAGAAGACAGACGCACAAGCCACCAGGUUUAUUUUAUAGUGUAUAACAGAGGACGAGUAUACCCUUAUCGUGAUCCAGAAGACAGACGCACAAGCCACCAGGUUUAUUUUAUAGUGUAUAACAGAGGACGAGUAUAUCCUUAUCGUGAUCCAGAAGACAGACGCACAAGCCACCAGGUUUAUUUUAUAGUGUAUAACAGAGGACGAGUAUACCCUUAUCGUGAUCCAGAAGACAGACGCACAAGCCACCAGGUUUAUUUUAUAGUGUAUAACAGAGGACGAGUAUACCCUUAUCGUGAUCCAGAAGACAGACGCACAAGCCACCAGGUUUAUUUUAUAGUGUAUAACAGAGGACGAGUAUAGCCUUAUCGUGAUCCAGAAGACAGACGCACAAGCCACCAGGUUUAUUUUAUAGUGUAUAACAGAGGACGAGUAUAGCCUUAACCCAAACAGUUGAUUUUAUAGCGUAUCCAGUAUAUAUAUUUUUAACACAGGGUGUGCAAGUUUACCUCGAAGUUUAAAAAGAAUUUAAGCGAUUCUUUUAUUCUGUAUCCAAGAUAAAGAAUGCAUUUCCUAGCUUGUAUGCAAGUUCAGCUGGAAGUUUGUAUUGAAUUCCAGCGAUUUUUAUGUGUUUACAUGUAGCCAUUUUGUACGAAUAAAAUUUGUUCAUACAAAA
Molecule: RNA transcript, 1618 nt
Organism: Nematostella vectensis (starlet sea anemone)
Lineage: Eukaryota; Metazoa; Cnidaria; Anthozoa; Actiniaria; Edwardsiidae
Exons: 2
Source: RefSeq, a predicted model, not a curated record